Molecule: unclassified non-coding RNA, 1101 nt
Filed under: Pocillopora damicornis (cauliflower coral)
Lineage: Eukaryota; Metazoa; Cnidaria; Anthozoa; Scleractinia; Pocilloporidae
Description: uridine-cytidine kinase-like 1, transcript variant X3
Source: RNAcentral
AUAUGGUGCAAAUGUCAUCAUCUUUGAAGGAAUCAUGGCCUUUGCAUAUAAGGAUUUGCGAGAUUUGAUGGAUAUGAAGGUUUUUGUUGAUGCUGAUCCUGAUGUUCGCUUGGCAAGACGGCUGAAAAGAGACAUCUCUGAACGAGAAAGGGACCUUGUUGGUGUCUUGCAGCAAUACAACACUUUUGUGAAACCUGCCUUUGAUCAAUACAUAGCACCAACAGUUGUUUAUGCAGACAUUGUUGUCCCAAGAGGUGGUGAAAAUAAUGUUGCAAUUGAUCUGAUUGUGCGCCAUGUUAGAACACAGCUGGAACAGAGAGGAUUUAAUUUCAGAGCACAGCUUCGGUCGUUCCAUCAAGGACAGCCACUACCUAGUUCACUGAGUAUUUUAGAAAGUACACCACAAGUCAGAGGAUUACAUGCAAUUAUUAGGAAUGAGGAGGCCAGUCGAGAUGACUUUGUCUUUUAUUCCAAGAGGCUGAUGAGAAUUCUUAUUGAACAUGCACUUUCACUCUUACCAUUCAAAAAACAUGUGGUGACAACAAUGGAGGGCAAAAUUUAUGAAGGAAGAAAAUUUGCAGGGAAAAGGCUGUGUGGUGUAUCAAUACUGAGGGCGGGUGAAACCAUGGAGCCAGCUCUAGAGUCUUUGUGCAAAGAUGUCAGAAUAGGAAAGAUUCUCAUUCAGACCAAUGAAAUAACAUCAGAACCUGAGCUUCAUUAUCAUCGUCUUCCAAAGGGCAUUAGUGAAGAUCAUGUAAUACUUAUGGACGCUACUGUGGCAACUGGUGCAGCAGCACUCAUGGCUAUCCGAGUUUUAUUGGACCAUGAUGUUAAAGAGGAGAAUAUUUUGUUCUUGUCUUUGAUAACUGCUGAAUCAGGGGAAAAAGAGAUGUAACGAAAAACGGUCAUUCAAUAGAUCCGGGCAACGGAUUCUGAAAACUCUGUACAGCCUUUUGAAGCCAGGCCUGAACUGAAACAGGUGUCCAUACAAUAGCUUAUGCAUACCCGAAGGUCAAAAUAGUCACAGCAGCAGUUGACCCAGAAGUGAACGAUAAAUACCACGUCAUACCUGGAAUAGGGAAUUUUGGCGACCGUUAUUUU